RNAcentral lists this ribosomal RNA (489 nucleotides) under uncultured bacterium. Its description in RNAcentral is "bacterial SSU rRNA". It matches the Rfam family "Bacterial small subunit ribosomal RNA", at positions 28 to 507 of the family's 1533-position model. The record is from RNAcentral.
GAUGAACGCUAGCGGCAGGCCUAACACAUGCAAGUCGAGGGGCAUCAUGGCGUAGCAAUACGCUGAUGGCGACCGGCGCACGGGUGCGUAACGCGUAUGGAACCUACCCACCGCAGGGGGAUAACCCGCCGAAAGGCGGACUAAUACCCCAUGGUUCCCCGACCCUGCCUGGGGUUGGGGGUAAAGCCUACGGGCGGCGGUGGAUGGCCCUGCGUGCCAUUAGCUGGCUGGUGGGGUAACGGCCCACCAGGGCGACGAUGGCUAGGGGGUCUGAGAGGACGAUCCCCCACACUGGUACUGAGACACGGACCAGACUCCUACGGGAGGCAGCAGUGAGGAAUAUUGGUCAAGUGGGCGGAAGCCUGAACCAGCCACGUCGCGUGAAGGAAGACGGCCCUACGGGUUGUAAACUUCUUUUGUAAGGGAAUAAAGUGUAGUACGCGUACUAUUUUGCAUGUACCUUACGAAUAAGGAUCGGCUAACUCCGUG